Molecule: transfer RNA, 73 nt
Filed under: Mustela putorius furo (domestic ferret)
Lineage: Eukaryota; Metazoa; Chordata; Mammalia; Carnivora; Mustelidae
Rfam family: tRNA
About the family: Transfer RNA (tRNA) molecules are approximately 80 nucleotides in length.
Source: Rfam by way of RNAcentral
ACCUGACUUACUCAAUUGGUAGAGCAUGAGACUCUUAGUCUCAGGGUUGUGAGUUCAAGCCCCAUGUUGGGUG